This 39-nucleotide non-coding RNA is filed under the name Trichobilharzia regenti. Lineage: Eukaryota; Metazoa; Platyhelminthes; Trematoda; Strigeidida; Schistosomatidae. The record is from RNAcentral.
AUCCAGAUGACGAGUCUCAAACAGGACGAAAUUCUGGAU